This 388-nucleotide ribosomal RNA is filed under the name Ctenophora sp. (in: diatoms). Its description in RNAcentral is "Ctenophora sp. (in: Bacillariophyta) partial small subunit ribosomal RNA". It matches the Rfam family "Eukaryotic small subunit ribosomal RNA", at positions 582 to 975 of the family's 1831-position model. Lineage: Eukaryota; Bacillariophyta; Fragilariophyceae; Fragilariales; Fragilariaceae. The record is from RNAcentral.
AUUCCAGCUCCAAUAGCGUAUAUUAAAGUUGUUGCAGUUAAAAAGCUCGUAGUUGGAUUUCGGAACCGGCCGAUUGGUCCGUCCUCUGGAUCGUGUACUGAUCGGUCUGUUCUUCUUCGCGAAGACCGCGUGUGCCCUUAACUGGGUGGGCGCGGGAUUCGCGACGUUUACUUUGAAAAAAUUAGAGUGUUCAAAGCAGGCAGUCGCUUGAAUAUCUCAGCAUGGAAUAAUAGAAUAGGACUUUGGUCUUAUUUUGUUGGUUUCCGAGACCGAAGUAAUGAUUAAUAGGGACAGUUGGGGGCAUUCGUAUUUCAUUGUCAGAGGUGAAAUUCUUGGAUUUAUGAAAGACGAACUUCUGCGAAAGCAUUUGCCAAGGAUGUUUUCAUUG